This is a non-coding RNA of Phasianus colchicus (ring-necked pheasant), 2927 nucleotides long. Lineage: Eukaryota; Metazoa; Chordata; Aves; Galliformes; Phasianidae. The record is from RefSeq and is a predicted model, not a curated record.
UUUUUUGUUUUCCCCUCCCUCUCAGCCACUGACCCCACAGUGCAGUGAGCCCAAUGCCCUGGGUGCUGCUUUGGGGAACCCCUCCUUGACCCACGGUGCACGGGGAACCCCAGACCCAUCCUGCAGUGCUGGGGAUCAUGCUCAUGGAGCAGCGGGAAACUCUGCCCUUUUUUCAAGGAAAUUAUGUAUUAUUAUUGUUACUGAGAGGGUGUAAAAAAGAGAAACAAAGCCCUCUGGGGAACUAGAAUUAUUGUGUGCUGGUUUGGGAUAAAUGCUCCCCUUUCAGUGCUCAGGUGACGCCUUCAUCUCCCCCAGCCUCUGAGAUGUUCCAGUUGAUGACCAUUGGAGUUCAACCAUCGAUGAAUGUGAGUCCUAGCAAAAACAAUGGGGUCCCUUCCAGCUCUGGAUGUUCUGUGAUUCUGUGCAAUGAGAGAUGCUCUGGCAUGGGUCUGGGUUUGCCAAUGCUUCUCCCACAUUUAACGUCCAUAAAACCCCACUGGGACAUUAUCUGCCCAGCAUGUGAACAUAUCAUUGAACUAGUCAGGGAAGGAGGGAACACCAAAGUUGCCCAUGUCCCUGUGGGAAUGAAGCAGCUCCCAUCCUUGUAAAUACAUUUUGUUAGUGGCCACAACAGCCAUAGGGGAUGUGGAGGGGAUGAGGAAAACCCCAGCCAGGUUUCACCCCUGCCAGCUGCUCGCAGGAGCUCCUGAGGUGUCUGGACAGGUAAUUAGUGCCUGGUCUGCAGGAUCCCUCCCGUCCUCUGCCCAGCACAUGCAAGGAGCGGCAGGGCUGGAUUUUUGAUGGCUGAUUUAGCCCGAACAAAGGCCCCAAACAGCACUGAGCGCCCGACUCAGGGAUGGAAACUUUAGAGCCAACGGGCUCCUUUCCCAUCAGUUAAAAAUAGUGUUAUUUUUUUUCUAAGCUGAUAACAUUUUAAACAUUUUGCAAGACAGAGUUUUCUUGGGAGGCAGGGAAACCUGUGCGUUUGCUAUAAAAGAAACUUCUGUGGAUAAGGAAAUGUUUCCUGUGAACUCACCUGUUGCCAGCCAAGGAGAAAUGUUCGGUGUUUCAUUUCAAUCGAGAAUUCACUGCUAUCUGGUGCUUUAUCUAACCUCACUCUUUGGAAGAUUUGAUGUCAUGCUUGGCAGAGCCCUCAGAUCCACGCGGCUUUAUGGUGCUGCUCUGCUAAAACUCCUCAUGUGUUGGUGUACAGUUGAAAAUAAAGCCUGAAAUCCUCACAGAAUGGGCAAACGUGGCCCAAAUUGGCCUUGAAUUUUGAAACAGGAGUUGAUAUAAGCACCUCUGUGCAACUCUCCCAGUGUCUGAGCAGUGCCAGGCAGUGCUAUUUGCUGCAUAGGAGAGGUCUCUGCCACACAGCCACUGGUUUUUAUUGCAUGUUGUAUAGUGGCCCUUACUGUUUAACUUUACAUAGAGACUGAUGUCGAAGGGCAGCCUUAGCUUCUCAGAACCUGUACAACACUAAUGGCUGCAUGGGCCAACAUCUGCAACCAUUUUGGUCUUUGUGGUUUACAGAGGUCGCCAUCAGGUGGAGUGGGAUACUAAAACGUAAGCCCAUGCUUCAGCCACAAUAGACUACGUAUUUUUUUCAAGUAAAUCAGCUUUUUGCAAAUAGUGUUUUUUUGGGGCAGUGUUUGGGGCUGCCCUUUGCCUCAGAUGGUGGCAGGUUCCAAGGAAGAUGCAACAAUGAUCUCCAGAGAUCCCUCCCAACCUCUAUGACUCCAUAACAACAGCCAGCUGGGACACAGCCUCUGAUGUGCUCACAACCUGACCCACCCUGGCUGCCUGCUGUAGCACUGAAGUUGCCCACAAUCAAGGUGAAUGUAAAAUUACUACUAAUUAACUAUUUCAUUGGGCCAUAUGCAAUAUGGUCCUGUAACUUCUAAUUAUGAGCACUUUGUACAUAAGGUGGCAUGUGGUCUGGUUUCAGACACUUAGGCCUUACUGCUCGGUGGAUCACCCAAGGCCACACAUAGGUAACCUUUUCUGCAGUGCAAAUGCUGCUUAAUUGACUCAGUAGGUCCCAGCUGUGGCUGUAAUUAGUUUAUAAGUUGUGCCACCUGUGUGCUGGUUGCCUUUCUUUUUGGAUCUGCUUGGUGGUCAGCAGUUGCUGCUGCUUCUAGAUCAUCAGGAGCAGUUUCCAAGGAGACUACCUCCUUGUGGGUUGAAUCUUCAGCAGGUGCAUAUUAGCUCAUUUCCAGCAAAGUCUGCAGGCAGAAAAUCAACUUCUCUCUUGGCUGACCUUUCCUCACCUGCUUCCCGUUUUAUCCUCUCAUGGAUGCAACUUUCCCUGCAGGAAAAAGAGAUGGAAAGAAAUGCACAAGAGCAUGGAUAUGUAAAUAACUUUUCCUGACUUUUCCUGACACAUUUCAGAUUUGGCUCUGUGCAAUUCAAUACAGUGUCACACUUGGUGCGUGCCAGCUUUGCGCCUGAAGUAAAAGAGCCAGGGAACUGUACCAGAUCAGACCUCCGAGGAAGAAGCUUUUGCUGGAAUCCAUGACCACACAGAAGGAAAAUGGAGACAGCAACCUUGUCUCCCAAAGGUGUUGUGGGACUUCUCACCUUCUGGAAAUCCUGCUUGCACGGCUGCUUCAUUCCACUGUUUUCCCAGAUUGAUGCUUUACCUUACUGAUUUGCUGUGGAAGGAUUACCAUCGCAGCUUGUCCGCACUGCUCAAACGUGAUUACUGGUUUCAGAAAUUGAGAUUACCAUUUCUGGUCCUAUUUAAAAUCGAGGAAGAAAUGUGAAAUUCUGAAAUCUUUUCAUGACUGAAAAACAGCUUUCCACCAAGAUCCCCUCAAAUGAGAUUGCAGAAAUUCUUCUUUCUCCUUCUUCCCUGGCUCCCUUAUCAUGCAAUUCUCUUCAUGCUGUUCUCCAAGACCAAAUCUGAGCCAGCCUGAGAUUUGUGC